UACGGAAGGCAGCAGUGGGGAAUAUUGCACAAUGGGCGCAAGCCUGAUGCAGCCAUGCCGCGUGUAUGAAGAAGGCCUUCGGGUUGUAAAGUACUUUCAGUCGUGAGGAAGGUGUUAAGGUUAAUAACCUUAGCAAUUGACGUUAGCGACAGAAGAAGCACCGGCUAACUCCGUGCCAGCAGCCGCGGUAAUACGGAGGGUGCGAGCGUUAAUCGGAAUUACUGGGCGUAAAGGGCACGCAGGCGGUUAAUUAAGUUGGAUGUGAAAUCCCCGGGCUUAACCUGGGAAUGGCAUUCAAGACUGGUUAGCUAGAGUCUUGUAGAGGGGGUAGAAUUCCAUGUGUAGCAGUGAAAUGCGUAGAGAUGUGGAGGAAUACCGGUGGCGAAGGCGGCCCCUGGACAAAGACUGACGCUCAUGUGCGAAAGCGUGGGGAGCAAACAGGAUUAGAUACC
Molecule: ribosomal RNA, 452 nt
Filed under: uncultured bacterium
Lineage: Bacteria
Description: bacterial SSU rRNA
Rfam family: Bacterial small subunit ribosomal RNA
Source: RNAcentral